RNAcentral lists this ribosomal RNA (424 nucleotides) under uncultured bacterium. RNAcentral's name for it is "bacterial SSU rRNA". It matches the Rfam family "Bacterial small subunit ribosomal RNA", at positions 358 to 773 of the family's 1533-position model. The record is from RNAcentral.
GGAAUAUUGCGCAAUGGGCGAAAGCCUGACGCAGCAACGCCGCGUGAGUGAUGAAGGCCUUCGGGUCGUAAAGCUCUGUCGGAGGGAACGAAUGCUUCCGGGGUUAACAGCCCCGGAAAUUGACGGUACCCUCCAAGGCAGCACCGGCUAACACUGUGCCAGCAGCCGCGGUAAGACAGAGGGUGCAAGCGUUGUUCGGAAUUAUUGGGCGGAAAGGGCGUGUAGGCGGUUUGUUAAGUCAUGUGUGAAAGCCCUCGGCUCAACCGAGGAAUGACGCAUGAAACUGGCAAGCUAGAGUACCAAAGAGGGGGGUGGAAUUCCCGGUGUAGCGGUGAAAUGCAUAGAUAUCGGGAGGAACACCCGUGGCGAAGGCGGCCCCCUGGUUGGAUACUGACGCUGAGACGCGAAAGCGUGGGGAGCAAAC